RNAcentral lists this ribosomal RNA (439 nucleotides) under uncultured bacterium. RNAcentral's name for it is "partial 16S ribosomal RNA". It matches the Rfam family "Bacterial small subunit ribosomal RNA", at positions 339 to 795 of the family's 1533-position model. The record is from RNAcentral.
CUACGGGAUGCUCCAGUGAGGAAUAUUGCACAAUGGGGGGAACCCUGAUGCAGCAACGCCGCGUGGAGGAUGACGCAUUUCGGUGUGUAAACUCCUUUUAUAUGUCAAGAAAAUGACGGUAGCAUAUGAAUAAGCACCGGCUAACUCCGUGCCAGCAGCCGCGGUAAUACGGAGGGUGCAAGCGUUACUCGGAAUCACUGGGCGUAAAGGACGCGUAGGCGGGUUGGAAAGUCAGGUGUGAAAUCCUACAGCUUAACUGUAGAACUGCACUUGAAACUUCUAAUCUAGAGGAUGGGAGGGGGAGAUGGAAUUAGUGGUGUAGGGGUAAAAUCCGUAGAUAUCACUAGGAAUACCUAAAGCGAAGGCGAUCUCCUGGAACAUUACUGACGCUAAGGCGUGAAAGCGUGGGGAGCAAACAGGAUUAGAUACCCGAGUAGUC